GUAUUAAAUUUUGCCUUUCGGCAGAUAAAAACAUUCAUUACAUCGAGUAAGAGUUUAUAAGGUUUCAAAGACAGGCUUUACCCUGUCUUCAAAAUUGAGUGCACAUGUGUAAGUGGAUUAAAGAGAGCGAGCACAUGCAAUCAUAGACUGCCAGCAUCCAGCCCCCGGUAAUUCAAUAAUGAUCCUUCCGCAGGUUCACCUACGGAAA
This 208-nucleotide unclassified non-coding RNA is filed under the name uncultured fungus. RNAcentral's name for it is "sequence contains ITS1". The record is from RNAcentral. Lineage: Eukaryota; Fungi.